GCAGUCGAGCGCGAAAUCUCUUCGGAGAGAGUAGAGCGGCGGACGGGUGAGUAACGCGUAGGAAUCUACCCAGUAGUGGGGGACAACAUGGGGAAACCCAUGCUAAUACCGCAUACGCCCUACGGGGGAAAGCGGGGGAUCUUCGGACCUCGCGCUAUUGGAUGAGCCUGCGUUGGAUUAGCUAGUUGGUGGGGUAAAGGCCUACCAAGGCGACGAUCCAUAGCUGGUCUGAGAGGAUGAUCAGCCACACCGGGACUGAGACACGGCCCGGACUCCUACGGGAGGCAGCAGUGGGGAAUAUUGCGCAAUGGGCGAAAGCCUGACGCAGCCAUGCCGCGUGUGUGAAGAAGGCCUUCGGGUUGUAAAGCACUUUCACUUGGGAAGAAAAGCUUGUCGUUAAUAGCGGCAAGCCGUGACAUUACCAUGAGAAGAAGCACCGGCUAACUCCGUGCCAGCAGCCGCGGUAAUACGGAGGGUGCGAGCGUUAAUCGGAAUUACUGGGCGUAAAGCGCGCGUAGGCGGUUUGUUAAGUCGGAUGUGAAAGCCCCGGGCUCAACCUGGGAACUGCACCCGGUACUGGCCGACUAGAGUACGAGAGAGGGAGGUAGAAUUCCACGUGUAGCGGUGAA
RNAcentral lists this ribosomal RNA (629 nucleotides) under uncultured Gammaproteobacteria bacterium. Its description in RNAcentral is "bacterial SSU rRNA". It matches the Rfam family "Bacterial small subunit ribosomal RNA", at positions 57 to 685 of the family's 1533-position model. Lineage: Bacteria; Pseudomonadati; Pseudomonadota; Gammaproteobacteria. The record is from RNAcentral.